UACGGAGGGGGCAAGCGUUAUUCGGAAUUAUUGGGCGUAAAGGGCGCGUAGGCGGCUAGAUGUGUCACAGGUGAAAUCCCUCGGCUCAACUGAGGAACUGCCUUUGAAACUGUCUGGCUUGAGGCCGGGAGAGGGUAGCGGAAUUCCCAGUGUAGCGGUGAAAUGCGUAGAUAUUGGGAGGAACACCAGUGGCGAAGGCGGCUACCUGGACCGGUUCUGACGCUGAGGCGCGAAAGCGUGGGUAGCAAACAGG
This 253-nucleotide ribosomal RNA is filed under the name uncultured bacterium. RNAcentral describes it as "partial 16S ribosomal RNA". It matches the Rfam family "Bacterial small subunit ribosomal RNA", at positions 524 to 776 of the family's 1533-position model. The record is from RNAcentral.